GAUGAACGCUAGCUACAGGCUUAACACAUGCAAGUCGAGGGGCAGCGGGAUUGAAGCUUGCUUCAAUUGCCGGCGACCGGCGCACGGGUGAGUAACGCGUAUCCAACCUUCCGCUUACUCGGGGAUAGCCUUUCGAAAGAAAGAUUAAUACCCGAUGGUAUCUUAAGCACGCAUGAGAUUAAGAUUAAAGAUUUAUCGGUAAGCGAUGGGGAUGCGUUCCAUUAGGCAGUUGGCGGGGUAACGGCCCACCGAGGCGACGAUGCGUAGGGGUUCUGAGAGGAAGGUCCCCCACACUGGUACUGAGACACGGACCAG
Molecule: ribosomal RNA, 315 nt
Filed under: uncultured bacterium
Lineage: Bacteria
Description: bacterial SSU rRNA
Rfam family: Bacterial small subunit ribosomal RNA
Source: RNAcentral